GACAUCGUAGCAAAGUGGUUAAUGCGACAGAUUCGAAUAUUAGUAAGCUAUGCUUAGUAAGCAUCUGUUCCUCUCUGAGGGCGCAGGUUCAAAUCCUGCCGGUGUCG
Phellopilus nigrolimitatus is the source of this 107-nucleotide non-coding RNA. Lineage: Eukaryota; Fungi; Basidiomycota; Agaricomycetes; Hymenochaetales; Hymenochaetaceae. The record is from the annotation of a GenBank genome assembly.